GAGGAAAGAGGGAGGCGUGCCUAAUACAUGCAAGUCGAGCGAACAGACGAGGAGCUUGCUCCUCUGACGUUAGCGGCGGACGGGUGAGUAACACGUGGAUAACCUACCUAUAAGACUGGGAUAACUUCGGGAAACCGGAGCUAAUACCGGAUAAUAUAUUGAACCGCAUGGUUCAAUAGUGAAAGACGGUUUUGCUGUCACUUAUAGAUGGAUCCGCGCCGCAUUAGCUAGUUGGUAAGGUAACGGCUUACCAAGGCAACGAUGCGUAGCCGACCUGAGAGGGUGAUCGGCCACACUGGAACUGAGACACGGUCCAGACUCCUACGGGAGGCAGCAGUAGGGAAUCUUCCGCAAUGGGCGAAAGCCUGACGGAGCAACGCCGCGUGAGUGAUGAAGGUCUUCGGAUCGUAAAACUCUGUUAUUAGGGAAGAACAAAUGUGUAAGUAACUAUGCACGUCUUGACGGUACCUAAUCAGAAAGCCACGGCUAACUACGUGC
This 498-nucleotide ribosomal RNA is filed under the name uncultured bacterium. RNAcentral's name for it is "partial 16S ribosomal RNA". It matches the Rfam family "Bacterial small subunit ribosomal RNA", at positions 28 to 508 of the family's 1533-position model. The record is from RNAcentral.